ACGGGGGGUGCAAGCGUUAAUCGGAAUCACUGGGCGUAAAGGGUGCGUAGGCGGUGCAUUAGGUCUGUCGUGAAAUCCCCGGGCUCAACCUGGGAAUGGCGGUGGAAACCGGUGUACUAGAGUAUGGGAGAGGGUGGUGGAAUUCCAGGUGUAGCGGUGAAAUGCGUAGAGAUCUGGAGGAACAUCAGUGGCGAAGGCGGCCACCUGGCCCAAUACUGACGCUGAGGCACGAAAGCGUGGGGAGCAAACAG
RNAcentral lists this ribosomal RNA (251 nucleotides) under uncultured prokaryote. Its description in RNAcentral is "partial 16S rRNA". It matches the Rfam family "Bacterial small subunit ribosomal RNA", at positions 525 to 775 of the family's 1533-position model. The record is from RNAcentral.